RNAcentral lists this long non-coding RNA (621 nucleotides) under Solanum tuberosum (potato). RNAcentral's name for it is "long non-coding RNA (STUB_LNC007017)". Lineage: Eukaryota; Viridiplantae; Streptophyta; Magnoliopsida; Solanales; Solanaceae. The record is from RNAcentral.
AAGUUGGGUUUUCAAGAUAAAAUUGGUGGGUAACAUUUCUUAACUCUAAACCUUCGAUUACCCAUUAUUAUUAUUGAAUUUAUGAGUUCAAAUCAAGAUUUCGGGUUGAUUAUUUGGGGGUGCUUCAUGAACUUGAGUUAUGAAGUAAAAGUGAGUUUGUGAACUGAUUUUAAGUUAUAUUUUGAAAUGAUUUUCCCUGAUGAGUUCCUAAAACCUUGAGUAAUGUUGUCAAGUAUUAAAUUUUGAAUCCAAACCUUAAUUUUUGGAAUUAGGUAUUGUAUUGAUUGACUCACCUUUUAAGGAAAUUGUAGUGGGUGUUGUUGAUUCUGGAAAGUGAUUGUGAAUACUUGCUUGAUUAUAGAUUGUAUGGUUUUGGAAGUGAAUCGGACGGGGGAGACUCAACUUUUGGAGUGAUUGUUGAUUGAUUUAAGGCAUCUGGCUUCCUAAACAUUGUAUUCUGAUUGAAUUCGCAUGCUUCCUUUGUUGCUUGCGUGUUGGGAGUAAUGAAGAUGAGGUGAAGGGUUUAAAUUGUCCACUUGUAACUUCCUCAUACAAUAGCGAAAUGAACCGAUAUUUUUUUCUAAAUGUCUUAAAUAAUGAUACUGACCUACUCAAUUAACC